GGAAAAAUUAAACUCCUGAAAUAUACAAAAGGAAUUAGAAAAAUUAUAGGAGGGCUACGUGAAAAACACUCCUUCAAAAGCCAAAAUUAAGCUUCGUUUGGCUCCUUCAUCACACAUCAGUCUUUGACAAAAUCUAGGACUCCUCUUUGUGUUAAUCCGGCUUAGACAAGUUCAGCAGUUCAACUAAAUUCAGAUUCGCGCCAAGAAGUUUCACAUUAGGAUGAAUUGCUCUCUAACAAAGGUCUAGAGUUCAAAUCAUGUGGGCAAUGAAGGAGUGGGAGAGUUUCAUCGAGGGCAAGGGAAUGAAUGAGUGGGAGAAUUCCUUGUCAAAUUUCCAAUGAGAUUUCCAAUGUGCAGGUCUAGAGUUCAAAUCAUGUGGGCAAGGGAAUGCAAACACAUGAGAUUUUCAAUCCACGAAUAUUGAUAAAAAAUAUUUACAAAAUUAUGUCAUUUAUAAAAAAAUUGACUGUAAAUAUACAUGGCAAUUAAUUGAUAAUUAACCUGGUAGAUAUCGUAAGUAAUUACCUAUUAUAAUAUGUUAAUGUUUUAGUAGUUAAAUUUUUUUUUUUUUUACGUAGUCAAUAUAACCUAAUUCAUAGGAUUAGUUAAUUUGUAACUCAAUUGUCAUCUACGGUGUUGAAAGUCCCUUGAGAUUUUCUCUUCCCACCCUCACCCAGGGGAAGCGGAUGGGGUUCUCAGAAAUCCCCACCCGCUACCGUAACACUUAUAAUUACAUUAUAAAAAUUC
Long non-coding RNA from Capsicum annuum, 747 nucleotides. RefSeq lists it as uncharacterized. NCBI's taxonomy places the organism in Eukaryota, Viridiplantae, Streptophyta, Magnoliopsida, Solanales, Solanaceae. The record is from RefSeq and is a predicted model, not a curated record. The transcript is spliced from 3 exons.